UCAAGCUCGGUUUUAUGGGUGC
This 22-nucleotide microRNA is filed under the name Ciona savignyi (Pacific transparent sea squirt). Its description in RNAcentral is "csa-miR-1473". The record is from miRBase by way of RNAcentral. Lineage: Eukaryota; Metazoa; Chordata; Ascidiacea; Phlebobranchia; Cionidae.